RNAcentral lists this ribosomal RNA (500 nucleotides) under uncultured Glomeromycotina. Its description in RNAcentral is "SSU rRNA". It matches the Rfam family "Eukaryotic small subunit ribosomal RNA", at positions 591 to 1092 of the family's 1831-position model. The record is from RNAcentral. Lineage: Eukaryota; Fungi; Glomeromycota.
CCAAUAGCGUAUAUUAAAGUUGUUGCAGUUAAAAAGCUCGUAGUUGAAUUUCGGGGUUAGCAGGUCGGUCGUGCCACUGGUAUGAACUGGCCUCGCUGAUUCCUCCCUCUUGAUGAGCCGUAAUGUCAUUAAUUUGGUGUUGCGGGGAAUCAGGACUGUUACUUUGAAAAAAUUAGAGUGUUUAAAGCAGGCAAGCGCUUGAAUACAUUAGCAUGGAAUAAUGAAAUAGGACGUUUGAUCUUAUUUUGUUGGUUUCUAAGAUUGACGUAAUGAUUAAUAGGGAUAGUUGGGGGCAUUAGUAUUCAAUUGUCAGCGUUGAAAUUCUUGGAUUUAUUGAAGACUAACUAAUGCGAAAGCAUUUGCCAAGGAUGUUUUCAUUAAUCAAGAACGAAAGUUAGGGGAUCGAAGACGAUCAGAUACCGUCGUAGUCUUAACCAUAAACUAUGCCGACUAGGGAUCGGAUGAUGUUAAUUUUUUAAUGACUCAUUCGGCGCCUUACG